RNAcentral lists this small RNA (102 nucleotides) under Mytilus galloprovincialis (Mediterranean mussel). The record is from RNAcentral. Lineage: Eukaryota; Metazoa; Mollusca; Bivalvia; Mytilida; Mytilidae.
GUUCCAUUGGGAACUUUCCUUAUAUAAUAUUUUAUCAAAUGCUAUAAGAAAAUUUCCUUCAAAAAGGAUAAAAUAUUACAUAAGGAAAGUUCCCAAUGGAAC